This 263-nucleotide ribosomal RNA is filed under the name uncultured bacterium. RNAcentral describes it as "partial 16S ribosomal RNA". It matches the Rfam family "Bacterial small subunit ribosomal RNA", at positions 334 to 589 of the family's 1533-position model. The record is from RNAcentral.
UAGCCCUACGGGGGGCAGCAGUAGGGAAUCUUCCACAAUGGGCGCAAGCCUGAUGGAGCAACACCGCGUGAGUGAAGAAGGGUUUCGGCUCGUAAAGCUCUGUUGUUGGAGAAGAAAGAUAGAGGUAGUAACUGGCCUUUAUUUGACGGUAAUUACUUAGAAAGUCACGGCUAACUACGUGCCAGCAGCCGCGGUAAUACGUAGGUGGCAAGCGUUGUCCGGAUUUAUUGGGCGUAAAGCGAGUUCAGGCGGUUCAAUAAGUC